Molecule: transfer RNA, 50 nt
Filed under: Neogrollea notabilis
Lineage: Eukaryota; Viridiplantae; Streptophyta; Jungermanniopsida; Jungermanniales; Lepidoziaceae
Description: partial tRNA-Leu
Source: RNAcentral
AAAAUCCGUUGGCUUUUCAGACCAUGAGGGUUCAAGUCCCUCUAUCCCCA